CCUACGGGAGGCAGCAGUCGAGAAUCAUUCACAAUGGGGGAAACCCUGAUGGUGCGACGCCGCGUGGGGGAAUGAAGUUCUUCGGAUUGUAAACCCCUGUCAUGUGGGAGCAAAUUAAAAAGAUAGUACCACAAGAGGAAGAGACGGCUAACUCUGUGCCAGCAGCCGCGGUAAUACAGAGGUCUCAAGCGUUGUUCGGAAUCACUGGGCGUAAAGCGUGCGUAGGCUGUUUCGUAAGUCGUGUGUGAAAGGCGCGGGCUCAACCCGCGGACGGCACAUGAUACUGCGAGACUAGAGUAAGGGAGGGGGAACCGGAAUUCGCGGUGUAGCAGUGAAAUGCGUAGAUAUCGAGAGGAACACUCGUGGCGAAGGCGGGUUCCUGGACAUUAACUGACGCUGAGGCACGAAGGCCAGGGGAGCGAAAGGGAUUAGAUACCCUAGUAGUC
This 446-nucleotide ribosomal RNA is filed under the name uncultured bacterium. RNAcentral's name for it is "partial 16S ribosomal RNA". It matches the Rfam family "Bacterial small subunit ribosomal RNA", at positions 338 to 795 of the family's 1533-position model. The record is from RNAcentral.